GGAUGCGAUCAUACCAGCACUAAAGCACCGGAUCCCAUCAGAACUCCGAAGUUAAGCGUGCUUGGGCGAGAGUAGUACUAGGAUGGGUGACCUCCUGGAAAGUCCUCGUGUUGCAUUCC
Molecule: ribosomal RNA, 119 nt
Filed under: Sorghum bicolor (sorghum)
Lineage: Eukaryota; Viridiplantae; Streptophyta; Magnoliopsida; Poales; Poaceae
Also listed under: 4 other names
Source: RNAcentral